AACGAACGCUGGCGGCGUGCCUAAUACAUGCAAGUCGAACGAGAAAGUGUAGCAAUACAUUAGUAAAGUGGCAGACGGGUGCGUAAUACAUAGGUAAUCUACCUCUAAGAUGGGGAUAACCUCCCGAAAGGAGGGCUAAUACCGAAUGAGACCACGAGCACUAAGGUGCUUGAGGUUAAAGAUGGCCUCUACUUGUACGCUAUUACUUAGAGAUGAGCUUAUGCACCAUCAGUUAGUUGGUAGGGUAACGGCCUACCAAGACGACGACGGUUAGCUGAUCUGAGAGGUUGAUCAGCCACACUGGAACUGAGACACGGUCCAGACUCCUACGGGAGGCAGCAGUAGGGAAUAUUGCGCAAU
RNAcentral lists this ribosomal RNA (360 nucleotides) under uncultured bacterium. Its description in RNAcentral is "bacterial SSU rRNA". It matches the Rfam family "Bacterial small subunit ribosomal RNA", at positions 29 to 372 of the family's 1533-position model. The record is from RNAcentral.